CCUGCUCAAUGCUAAUAAAUAGCCGCUAAAAGUGCUAAGGUAGCAUAAUAAUUUGCUUUUCAAUUAAAAGAUAGAAUGAAAGGAAAAACGAUUUAUUAACUAUUUUUACCCAACACACAUAAAUUAACUUAACACGUAAAAAUUCAGUUAUACCCCAGCAGGACGACAAGACCCUACUGAACUUCACUUAAAGUUAUGCUGGGACGGCAAAAAACUAAAUCUUCCCUCUCUCCCAAUGAAAGCACACUACUGAAUAAAAUUAAGUUACCAUAGGGAUAACAGCAUAAUAAUUUUUUAAAGCCCCCAUAACAAAAAUUGUUUAUGACCUCGAUGUUGAAUUAAUACACUUCUUACAGAAAAAAGUAAACAAGAGAGUCUGUUCGACUCACCAAUAUUACAU
RNAcentral lists this ribosomal RNA (400 nucleotides) under Speocera griswoldi. RNAcentral's name for it is "partial large subunit ribosomal RNA". It matches the Rfam family "Bacterial large subunit ribosomal RNA", at positions 1858 to 2601 of the family's 2925-position model. Lineage: Eukaryota; Metazoa; Arthropoda; Arachnida; Araneae; Ochyroceratidae. The record is from RNAcentral.